Molecule: ribosomal RNA, 439 nt
Filed under: uncultured bacterium
Lineage: Bacteria
Description: partial 16S ribosomal RNA
Rfam family: Bacterial small subunit ribosomal RNA
Source: RNAcentral
CUACGGGUUGCUGCAGUGGGGAAUAUUGCACAAUGGAGGAAACUCUGAUGCAGCAACGCCGCGUGGAGGAUGACACUUUUCGGAGCGUAAACUCCUUUUAUAUAGGAAGAAGAUGACGGUACUAUAUGAAUAAGCGCCGGCUAACUCCGUGCCAGCAGCCGCGGUAAUACGGAGGGCGCAAGCGUUACUCGGAAUCACUGGGCGUAAAGAGCGUGUAGGCGGAUUAAAGAGUCAGAAGUGAAAUCCUAUAGCUUAACUAUAGAACUGCUUCUGAAACUCUUAAUCUAGAAUAUGGGAGUGGUAGAUGGAAUUUCUGGUGUAGGGGUAAAAUCCGUAGAGAUCAGAAGGAAUACCGAUUGCGAAGGCGAUCUACUAGAACAUUAUUGACGCUGAGACGCGGAAGCGUGGGGAGCAAACAGGAUUAGAUACCCGGGUAGUC